Molecule: long non-coding RNA, 722 nt
Organism: Ictalurus punctatus (channel catfish)
Lineage: Eukaryota; Metazoa; Chordata; Actinopteri; Siluriformes; Ictaluridae
Source: Ensembl
GUCCGAGAGAGCGCUACGGUAAAUACCUACCUCAUGGGGACCAGAGCUAUACGUGUCCGAGAGAGCGCUGCAGUAAAUACCUACCUCGUGGGGACCAGAGCUAUACGUGUCCGAGAGAGCGCUGCAGUAAAUACCUACCUCGUGGGGACCAGAGCUAUACGUGUCCGAGAGAGCGCUGCGUUAAACGCCUACCUUGUGGGGACCACAGCUAAAUGUGUAAGUAGGCCACGUCUGGAACUCUACCAACCCCUCUACGUUAGCCGCUACCGUUUGCCCGAUCUGCCCAGUUUCCAGACCCCUCACCAGGGUAAAGGCGGGUACUGGUCCAGUCCUCAGCGGUACCGCCCGAGUGGCAGCACAUGGCAGAACCUACGACGGCACGUCCUCGUAGUGCCGGGCAACACGGGCUUCUCCGACAUCACGUCCACUAAAACGGCAGGCAGCUGUGGACUGCGCCACACGCUAGUGUGGAAAUAUCGCUGGCUUAAACUGAAGGAACUGACAAAGAGCUACAGACCCGGCAUGGCGGCGAGGUCCGUCUACAGGCCUUGAGUUUAGGAUCUCCUGCGAGGGAGGACUUUCCCGUCAUCGGUUCUCCGACCAAAGCUGAGCGAUGAAGGCAUCACUAUACGAUCUGACCGUGUAAUCCAAACACGGACGUGAAUUUAAAUCGCAGGACUAACGGUCGUAUUGUAUUCUGCCUUAAGUAAAGAAACUUUUGG